AGGAAUGUAUAGCAAUAGCUACUUGUAUCAUUAUAGUAAUGAUACAAGCUCGACUAUGUUGAAUAAAAUUCUAGGUAGAAUUAUGAUAAUGACAUUGUCUGCCUAUGUGUCUUGACCAAAUUACGUGCCAGCAGUCGCGGUAAUACGUAGAAGACUAGUGUUAUUCAUGUUUAGUCGGUUUAAAGGGUACCUAGACGGUGAAUCAAGCUUUCAAUAAAUAAAAAAAGGGACUAAUUCGCUAGAGUUACUUACGAGGGGGUAUUAAAGUACUGCUGGUGUAGAGAUGAAAUUCUGUCAUACCUCUUUUCGAAAGAAGAAUUAUGGCACAGGUAUAGGCGAAGGCAUCCCCUUAUGUGAUAACUGACGUUGAGGGACGAAGGCUUCAUGUAACAAACAGGAUUAGAUACCCUAGUAGUUGAAAGCAGAAAAUGAUGAAUGUCAUAGAUUAGAUGUCUAAGUUUAUUCUAUAAAUGAAAGUGUAAGCAUUCCACCUCAUGAGUAAUUUGGCAACAUUGGAAUUGAAAUCAUUAGACCGUUUCUGAAACCAGUAGUGAAGUAUGUUGUUUAAUUUGAUAAUCCGCAAAAAACCUUACCACAAUUUGAAUAUUUAUUAUUUAUUGUUAUCUUAUUAAUUUUCUUCCUUUUUUUUUUUAACUAAACAAUUAAACAGGAAAAGAGAAUAAAUUAAUCAAGAGGCAAGAACAUAUAUCUACAAGCGUUGCACGGCUGUCUUCAGUUAAUGUCGCGAGACUUCGGUUAGUUCCGGUAAAUUAACGUAAACCCUUACUUUAUUUUUUAUAUAGAGUAGUUCCCCGCUAUACUGGAUUCUGAU
This 832-nucleotide ribosomal RNA is filed under the name Parmotrema subcaperatum. RNAcentral describes it as "SSU rRNA". It matches the Rfam family "Bacterial small subunit ribosomal RNA", at positions 357 to 1146 of the family's 1533-position model. The record is from RNAcentral. Lineage: Eukaryota; Fungi; Ascomycota; Lecanoromycetes; Lecanorales; Parmeliaceae.